UGGCCUUGACAGUGUCUGCUCUAUCUUCAACUUAAAUUCACCAAUCGAUAAGGAUGGGAACCAUCCUGUAUCAAGAAUGCUUAGUGGGCAUAAGGGUUACGUGUCUUCCUGUCAGUACGUUCCAGAUGAGGAUACUCACCUAAUAACUAGUUCUGGUGAUCAAACAUGUGUUCUUUGGGAUAUUGUGUCUUCCUGUCAGUAUGUUCCAGAUGAGGAUACUCACCUAAUAACUAGUUCUGGUGAUCAAACAUGUGUCCUUUGGGAUAUAACUACUGGUCUAAAAACUUCUGUCUUUGGAGGUGAGUUUCAAUCCGGGCACACUGCAGAUGUACAAAGGUGAGUUGGUGAUCAAUUGACUAUGCAAAUAUUCUAUCUCUGUCCUUUAACUAUGUUAAACAUAUUUUCUGCAUAUAGUUUUGGAAGCAAUCUUAUUUCUUUUC
Molecule: long non-coding RNA, 440 nt
Filed under: Nicotiana benthamiana
Lineage: Eukaryota; Viridiplantae; Streptophyta; Magnoliopsida; Solanales; Solanaceae
Description: long non-coding RNA (NBEN_LNC004116)
Source: RNAcentral